UCAAUGUAGGCUGGCUGAAGGAUAACGUAUGGAACUUGUCUCAACUUAUAAUUAUUACAAGUUAAUAAAAAAGUGAAAAUACUUUUAAUAUUAGAUAAAAGACGAGAAGACCCUUAGAAUUUUCUCCCUAAAUAAGCUUCAUAGCUAAUUUCGAUUUAGUUGGGGCAACUUUAUUUCAUUUAAUAAAUAGUAACACUAAUUAUAUAUGCCGAUUUAAUAAGAAAAGAUAAAUUACCUAAGGGAUAACAGCAUAAUUUUAUAAGUAAGUUUGUGACCUCGAUGUUGGACAC
This 290-nucleotide ribosomal RNA is filed under the name Medora garganensis. RNAcentral describes it as "partial 16S ribosomal RNA". Lineage: Eukaryota; Metazoa; Mollusca; Gastropoda; Stylommatophora; Clausiliidae. The record is from RNAcentral.